This is a long non-coding RNA of Gambusia affinis (western mosquitofish), 929 nucleotides long. RefSeq lists it as uncharacterized. The record is from RefSeq and is a predicted model, not a curated record. The transcript is spliced from 4 exons. Lineage: Eukaryota; Metazoa; Chordata; Actinopteri; Cyprinodontiformes; Poeciliidae.
CCAUGAGCUAAAAUGGUCCCAACCAAAAAAUUAAAACUGCUCAUCUAAAACGGACACCUUCAAGCUCAAGCGAAAUGAGCAGCUGUCAACAUGGACAAGCCAAAUAUCUCCUGGAUAACAGUUUGUCAAAAGAGACACCUUACUUGGUGUAGUUAUCGAUGUAACGUUUAAAUAACAGAGUCGUUGUUGAUAAACACCCUCUUGUAUAUUCGUUUCUUUGACGAAUUUUUUCCUGGCUAAAGUGCGUCGAUGAAUGGAGUCUUGGUCCACAUAAGCCUGGCAGCUUCGGAGGAGUCCAACUGGGAUUGAGCUCAACUUUGUGCCGAGAACGUGGACUCAGCUACAAGUUGGAGAGCGCUCAUUAGAGCCAGACUGUGGCGGCUCAGCUCAUAUCCUCCAACGGAGCCGGACCUCACUGAGAGGAAACAUGAGCAACCAGAGCUCCACCCUGCAGCCUGGAAUGAGAAAUACAGUGAGGCCGCUGAUUAGCCCUCGCUGCCAAUAAGAGCUGAGGCAGGCCUGAACCCGGGCAGAAGGAAAACAAAGAGGAGAAACCGUGGCAUGCAUGUUGACUGGAGGAGUAGACCCUCCGGAGGAGGAGCGUGGAGACAGACGAGAAUGUUUGAAUGUUUUCCAGAAUGACUGGAUGAAGUGUGACGUGCUUUCAGCUAAAAGCACCAGCUUUCCACAGACACUAGUUACCACAAAAUGUCUGCUGGUGGGAACAAAGAGCUUUACACAAUCUGUUCUCUCAGAAGUCCUGCAUCACUGUGGUUUCUCAUAUUUUUAUAUCAAUAUCACUUGUAAGAGCAACUUUUUACAAAAUGUCCUUCAUACAGGGUGUAAAAAUGUGUAGUUGUGACUUCAACCUGUUGAGUUUUUGCAUUUUUACAACUGGCUGAUUUGUUAGUACAAUAUCACAAAACCAG